CGUUGCUUCGGCGGGUUGGCCCCGGUCUCCGGGGUCCCCGGCCCUACUCGGGCGCCCGCCGGAGGUAUCUAACUCUUGAACUUUUAUGGCCUCUCUGAGUCUUUGUACUUAAUAAGUCAAAACUUUCAACAACGGAUCUCUUGGUUCUGGCAUCGAUGAAGAACGCAGCGAAAUGCGAUAAGUAAUGUGAAUUGCAGAAUUCAGUGAAUCAUCGAAUCUUUGAACGCACAUUGCGCCCGCCAGUAUUCUGGCGGGCAUGCCUGUUCGAGCGUCAUUUCAACCAUCAAGCCCCCGGCUUGUGUUGGGGACCUGCGGCUGCCGCAGGCCCUGAAAACCAGUGGCGGGCUCGCUAGUCACUCCGAGCGUAGUAAUACAUCUCGCUCAGGGCGUGCUGCGGGUUCCGGCCGUUAAAAAGCCUUAUUUACCCAAGGUUGACCUCGGAUCAGGUAGGAAGACCCGCUGAACUUAAGCAUAUCAAUAAGCGGAGGA
This 489-nucleotide ribosomal RNA is filed under the name Trichocladium asperum. RNAcentral's name for it is "eukaryotic LSU rRNA". The stretch from base 121 to 274 matches the Rfam family "5.8S ribosomal RNA". Lineage: Eukaryota; Fungi; Ascomycota; Sordariomycetes; Sordariales; Chaetomiaceae. The record is from RNAcentral.